Molecule: non-coding RNA, 1512 nt
Organism: Aegilops tauschii subsp. strangulata
Lineage: Eukaryota; Viridiplantae; Streptophyta; Magnoliopsida; Poales; Poaceae
Source: RefSeq, a predicted model, not a curated record
AAAAUAAUGCCAAUAGCAUACAAAACAAACCGCCUGAUGAAAUGAUCAUCUGGAGUUUUGGAGGCUUUAAUUUUGUCCUCGAGGUCACUCAGCUUAAGUCUUCCAUCUGUUUGAUAAGCCCUUAACAGCUCUUCGCUAGCAGCACCAACAUAAUACGUCAAAGAGACACUGACUUCAUCUUUGUUAGCCCUCCAAGACCGGUUUGAGUGCAGAUGGCCUUUAGGUGCUCGUCAUCUAAUCCAUCAAUCAUUUGCGCGAACCUUAUCGGUGAGCACAUUAACCUCAUAUUUGCAUGUUUCACACUGAGUUCGUCCAAAAAAGCCUGAAAUACGUGUAAAGGUAAAAGAACUAUGUGUUUUCAAAGAUUUUCACCUAACUGGGAAAAAAUAUACCUGAUUGGUUAAGUCUGGUAAUUGUGUGUCGGCACAACUUGUAGGAGAACUGGCCAUUCCUUGAAAAUAUGCACAAACAGAGACUGGGUCAUGUCAGAGAAUAAACAUAAGCUAUGGGGUUGUACCAUACUGUAAUUGUUCCACCUAUUUCUUACAGAGCACAAAAUUACUAUGAUAAGCUAUUUAAUUUAAUUACUUCUUUGUUACUACCUCUCCAGAGGUGUACGUUAACCACACAGAUUGAUCGGUGAUUAAUGAUUACUUACUAAAUUUUCUCUACUGUCGUUAAUGUGAACAACACGUGGUAUUUAUUCUGCCAUUUGAUAUUUAUAUACAAAGUUUUGGAUUAUAUUGACCUCACUGUUUCUAAGGGGUGUAAAAAUACCAGGCGUUCUAACCGUGAUGCGAAUAGGUGGAUGAAGAGGAAGCAGUACCGUCGUAUCGCACAUGCCAGGUGGGUGGUGGCCGCUGGCUCUGAUCCCCUGGGUGGUUGGGUGUGGCUGGCGGCUCCAAUCGUCCCGGUCAGGAGGGCGGCGUUGGCGUUCAAGCUGAAUGCGUGAAGUGUCCACGGAGAGAGUUCGACGCCGGCGACGAGCAUAGACAGGCGGAUCACGAUGCUGUGGACGGAGCAAAAUUCAGAGAAAACCCAUAAGAUCUCAUGAUGGCUUCAUGCAUAGAAACAAGCAGUGACGUCGUAUUCCGCAGGCCGGAUGGGCGGUCGCCGGCGGCUCCGUUCCCGUGGGUGAGGACGGCGGCUCCGUUACAGCCGGUGAACAGGGCGGCGGCGAUGGGACUGGCGUUGGAGGAGAAGGUCGCGUGUGAGAAGGCGGCUGGAAUGGAAUGUGAGUGGAGAAUCGAGUUGCAGCCGGCUAGGCCAGUUGGAUUGGAGGUUGUUGCAGAUAAUGGGGGAGGUGGGAGAGAAGUUUGGGAGGGCCGAUAGAUAUGCGCGUGGUGGGUUCAGCUCCUCUACAGUUCAGUUGUUACUGUAUGGGUGCUGUAGGCUCUACUAUCAACACCAAUUCUUUUGGCACGUCAUUUUUUUCUUCAGAAUCUGCCACGUCUGUUUCUGGCUUGCGCCCGGGCUUAGGCGAUCUCUUUGGCCAAACUAAUUGUGUGUUAA